RNAcentral lists this signal recognition particle RNA (266 nucleotides) under Dictyoglomus sp. NZ13-RE01. RNAcentral describes it as "signal recognition particle sRNA large type". It matches the Rfam family "Bacterial large signal recognition particle RNA". From Rfam's summary of the family: The signal recognition particle (SRP) is a universally conserved ribonucleoprotein involved in the co-translational targeting of proteins to membranes. The record is from RNAcentral. Lineage: Bacteria; Pseudomonadati; Dictyoglomota; Dictyoglomia; Dictyoglomales; Dictyoglomaceae.
CUAUGCUUAGGUGGGGAGCUAGCGGUGCCCUGUACCUGCAAUCCGCUAUAGCAGGACCGAAAGGCCACCUGAGGCUUUGCCUUGUAGAAUAGGAGGGAGUAUGGGAACGAUGAUAGUCAGGAACUGUGCAAUGGGAAGGCUUCAAACCCCGCCAGGUCCGAAAGGAAGCAACGGUAAGAAGCUCUUCUCAUGUGCCGCAGGACUCCUGACUGGAGUUCACCGCUCCCUUACUAUCUGGAAGGCAUAAGUCGAGGGUGGAGGCAUAG